CCCUUAGAUGUUCUGGGCCGCACGCGCGCUACACUGACUACUUCAACGAGUUGUUUCCUAGAUCGAAAGGUCUGGGUAAUCUUUGAAAGGUAGUCGUGAUGGGGAUAGAUCCUUGCAAUUUUUGAUCUUCAACGAGGAAUUCCUAGUAAACGCAAGUCAUCAGCUUGCAUUGAUUACGUCCCUGCCCUUUGUACACACCGCCCGUCGCACCUACCGAUUGAAUGGUCCGGUGAAUCUUUAGGACUGUGGCUGAGGCCUUGCCUUGUGCGGGUCUGGCCGUGGGAAUUUAGUUAAACCUUACCAUUUAGAGGAAGGUGAAGUCGUANCA
This 328-nucleotide ribosomal RNA is filed under the name uncultured eukaryote. Its description in RNAcentral is "partial 18S ribosomal RNA". It matches the Rfam family "Eukaryotic small subunit ribosomal RNA", at positions 1470 to 1796 of the family's 1831-position model. The record is from RNAcentral.